This 822-nucleotide ribosomal RNA is filed under the name Micrococcaceae bacterium DP_00044. RNAcentral describes it as "bacterial SSU rRNA". It matches the Rfam family "Bacterial small subunit ribosomal RNA", at positions 28 to 864 of the family's 1533-position model. The record is from RNAcentral. Lineage: Bacteria; Bacillati; Actinomycetota; Actinomycetes; Micrococcales; Micrococcaceae.
GAUGACGCUGGCGGCGUGCUUAACACAUGCAAGUCGAACGAUGAUCCCAGCUUGCUGGGGGAUUAGUGGCGAACGGGUGAGUAACACGUGAGUAACCUGCCCUUGACUCUGGGAUAAGCCUGGGAAACUGGGUCUAAUACCGGAUAUGACUCCUCAUCGCAUGGUGGGGGGUGGAAAGCUUUUGUGGUUUUGGAUGGACUCGCGGCCUAUCAGCUUGUUGGUGGGGUAAUGGCCUACCAAGGCGACGACGGGUAGCCGGCCUGAGAGGGUGACCGGCCACACUGGGACUGAGACACGGCCCAGACUCCUACGGGAGGCAGCAGUGGGGAAUAUUGCACAAUGGGCGCAAGCCUGAUGCAGCGACGCCGCGUGAGGGAUGACGGCCUUCGGGUUGUAAACCUCUUUCAGUAGGGAAGAAGCGAAAGUGACGGUACCUGCAGAAGAAGCGCCGGCUAACUACGUGCCAGCAGCCGCGGUAAUACGUAGGGCGCAAGCGUUAUCCGGAAUUAUUGGGCGUAAAGAGCUCGUAGGCGGUUUGUCGCGUCUGCUGUGAAAGACCGGGGCUCAACUCCGGUUCUGCAGUGGGUACGGGCAGACUAGAGUGCAGUAGGGGAGACUGGAAUUCCUGGUGUAGCGGUGAAAUGCGCAGAUAUCAGGAGGAACACCGAUGGCGAAGGCAGGUCUCUGGGCUGUAACUGACGCUGAGGAGCGAAAGCAUGGGGAGCGAACAGGAUUAGAUACCCUGGUAGUCCAUGCCGUAAACGUUGGGCACUAGGUGUGGGGGACAUUCCACGUUUUCCGCGCCGUAGCUAACGCAUUAAG